UAUGUAUGUGCCUGUCCCAAGUCAGGAGCCUGUAAUUCAGUGGUUGUCGUUUGUUUAUGUGUUACAUAUUUGUUUUUCGUUCAUUUUUUUACAUAAAUAAGGCCGUUAGUUUUCUCGUUUGAAUUGUUUUACAUUGUCUUAUCGAGGCCUUUCAUAGCUCACUAUGCGGUAUGGGCUUUGCUUAUUGUUGAAGGCCGUACGGUGACCUAUAGUUGUUAAUGUCUGUGUCAUUUUGGUCUUUUGUGGAUAGUUGUGUCAUUGGCAAUCAUACCACAUCU
Molecule: long non-coding RNA, 278 nt
Filed under: Mytilus galloprovincialis (Mediterranean mussel)
Lineage: Eukaryota; Metazoa; Mollusca; Bivalvia; Mytilida; Mytilidae
Source: RNAcentral